Molecule: microRNA precursor, 98 nt
Filed under: Lucilia cuprina (Australian sheep blowfly)
Lineage: Eukaryota; Metazoa; Arthropoda; Insecta; Diptera; Calliphoridae
Description: mir-2 microRNA precursor
Rfam family: mir-2 microRNA precursor family
About the family: The miRNAs are transcribed as ~70nt precursors (modelled here) and subsequently processed by the Dicer enzyme to give a ~22nt product. In this case the mature sequence comes from the 3' arm of the precursor.
Source: Rfam by way of RNAcentral
AGCCUCACAAAGUGGUUGUGAAAUGCUUAAAUUAACUUUUUAUAGUUCUUUUAAAACUUUAAAAAAUUGCAUAUCACAGCCAGCUUUGAUGAGCUUAG